UGAGGAAUAUUGGUCAAUGGCCGAGAGGCUGAACCAGCCAAGCCGCGUGAGGGAAGAAGGUACAGAGUAUCGUAAACCUCUUUUGUCGGGGAACAAAAGCGGGG
This 104-nucleotide ribosomal RNA is filed under the name uncultured bacterium. RNAcentral describes it as "partial 16S ribosomal RNA". It matches the Rfam family "Bacterial small subunit ribosomal RNA", at positions 355 to 457 of the family's 1533-position model. The record is from RNAcentral.